Drosophila sechellia is the source of this 904-nucleotide long non-coding RNA. RefSeq lists it as uncharacterized. The record is from RefSeq and is a predicted model, not a curated record. The transcript is spliced from 3 exons. Lineage: Eukaryota; Metazoa; Arthropoda; Insecta; Diptera; Drosophilidae.
AGCCAAUCUAGAACCGUAGUUGAUCUAGUCCCUUGAUAACUCGAAAUGCUAUAAAAUCUAUAAAAUGAUUGUUUUGGAAAUGUAUAUGUUCUGCGAUAAACGAAAUAUCAUAAUAAAUAUAUAGCCCCGGUAAAAGAUAGUAAAACCAAAGAGACUAGAAUAACAGGAUGCGUAACGGCCAUACAAAUUUUUGGCAUAUUCUAGUGUCUUUGGUAAAACCAUAUUUUGUUAUUAUGAGAUUCAAAUGUAUUUCAUUUCGGAACAUGAUCGCUUAGUGACGUGCACCACUGUACGUACACACAGAUAUCCGAAACAACUUGCCGGCAAUUUCUGAACUUAGACUGAGGUCUUGGGUUCAAGUGCUAAUUGGGCACGAAAUUGAAUGCAAAACCGAUUUCUGAUCCAACUAUGACCCAAAUAAAGUACAAGUGACAAACUUGCUGGUGACACAUGGUCAGGCCCUCGAAAGUUCGAUAGUGUUACGCUUAUUACUCAAUGGAAGUUACGUUGAUUUCAGCGGAAAUGGUCUGCCAUGGUCAGGAGCGAGAAAGCAGUUAUCGGAAGCUUCCAGCGGAAGGAAGAACAAGACAGUUCGGCUGGGCGUAAGCGUUCCGUGAGCUUCAGUAAUUUUCAUUCCACUUGAGCUGGUUGAGAGUAUCCAAACAGUCGCCGAUUUAAGAUCGGCGGGAGCAAGUUCGUGACAUAUUCAUUAUGGACUUCGUACGACUACGAAUACGAAUACGGAAUCUUCGCUGUGUGGGUGGUGUCAUGAACGUCUGGCCGAUAUGGAGACACUUAUUUAUUUACAAGCGUGCCUACAAAUGAAUGGAGUUCCUGUAACUACACUCAAAACUUCAUGUUAUACUUCAAAUCAAAUCAAUAAAAUAAAAUGUCACAUGUAUAA